Long non-coding RNA from Zalophus californianus (California sea lion), 1808 nucleotides. RefSeq lists it as uncharacterized. The transcript is spliced from 3 exons. The record is from RefSeq and is a predicted model, not a curated record. NCBI's taxonomy places the organism in Eukaryota, Metazoa, Chordata, Mammalia, Carnivora, Otariidae.
GGGGGGGGGGGGGGUGCGGUUCUCCUGUUAGUCUGGGAAGUUCCAAUGAACUGUUGAUAGGAAUAUUGUUCAGAGAGCAGAGAAGAAAAUUGGGCAACAUACUGGGCCCUCCUGCCACUUAAACAUGACCAGGUGAGGGGCUGCGGUUUGGAUCUCCUUUGCCUGUAAAAAGAGGCUGAUCUGAAUGGACACCUAAAUUUUCUCUCAGCUCUUGCACAUGUAGUUUUUUGGCAUUCUUUUUUUUUUUUUUUUUGGGUUGAAUGUACAGGAGGUGCAUUUCUGCCUCUAGGGAGUUUGCAGGGCAAGGGGGUGUGAACAUCCAGCUGCUGGGACCAUAAUGGCUGUGGCACUCCUUGCCUUAGCCCGCUAGCUCCAGAAUGUGCAUAUCUCUCCAGCCUGGUGAGAAGAGGGAGGGGGUUGUGGAUCUCCUGGGCAGGCAACCUGGGGAUGGGGCUUUGAUCAAAGGACUGUUGGCUGCCUCCAAGGAAGGCAGACUGCCCCCAUCACUGCCCGUUUUUUUUCUCUUUUUUACCCAGCACCUUCCCUCUCCCCCAUCCUCAGCAGGAGCAGACCCUCUCCUUACCCCAUCUCAGGUGGGAAAAGGACCUGCCAGUCACUUCUUUGGGAUAGGCCUUUCCCUUGCCUCAGUGCUGGGACACUGGUGGGCUGCUAUCUGCAGGUUUGGAGCCUAAAAAUGUUUGAAGGGAAGGGUGGAGGUGGGAGACUUCUCAGCAGGAAUAUCUUUUCUAUUUUCAGAGUGACUUAGACCAUUGGCAGUGGACCUUGGAGGGAAGGCCCUGAUUCUGAACACUUGGGAAGAAUCCUGCAGAGAUUCAAGGUGGGCGUGAGAGGAUGGAUAAAACCUAGAAGUGUUUCUUCAUUCCUUAGUCUAUGACUCAUGGAAGAAGAUAUUAGAACCAAUGUUUUGCAAGACCUUCCCGUGAAAUGGAAAGAACAUCAAUGUUGGCUCCAGUAAGAGGCGUGCACUUAAUUUUGCCUUGCUUCAUCAAUAAUGAUGAGGUUGCAUGGAUUUCCUACUACUCCACAGGGGUGGAGUGAACCAGAAAGAACUGGUCAGCCCUCGACAUUCAGGUGCUAUCGAAUACUAGCCCUAAGGCCAAUGACGCUAACAGAACAAACAUGAAAUUUCCUUUUGUUGCUUAGAAUCAUUGUGGUAGGAUUCCUGAGGCAUCACCUGGACUGCGUCACCUGGACUGUGUCACCUAGCUGGACACAUAGGGGAGCUGGAAGGAUGCCACAUGUGAGGAUUUUGGGGAUCUGUAACACUAUCUGGGUCCCCCAGUAGCUCCCAAAUGAUCCUAUCGUCCAUCUCUUCCCUUCCUGGCUUGAACUUCCCACCAUAAAUUAGAAUUGAAAAAUGCCUUUUGUCAGUCAGCCUUUGUCCUGCAAUGUACACAGUGUUCAGUGAACCUUGUUCUAUUUGAACCAUACAACUGUCCUGCCACAUAGGCAGAGUAGGAGUUAUCAUCUUCACUUUACAAAGGAGGAAAGGGUUCAAACAGAUUAUGGAACUUGGAUGGGGACACGCAGCACAGCCAGGACUAGAAUUCAGGUUGUCUGUCCCUACUGGUUUUGUUUUUUGUUCCCCCGUGAUUUCACAGCUCUUCGGAAAGCUGUUGUCAUCAUGUAAAAGCUCUAUGUGACUGCCCUAUAUUUAUCUUUCCUAACCAAGACACACAGCUUUAAACUGUGAUCCUAAACACACACACACACACACACACACACACAUACACACACUGAAACAAAAUUUCAAAAAGCAAAACUUAACCCUACCACACAGUGUACUC